Ribosomal RNA from Polypterus senegalus (gray bichir), 154 nucleotides. RefSeq annotates it as 5.8S ribosomal RNA. The transcript has a single exon. Lineage: Eukaryota; Metazoa; Chordata; Cladistia; Polypteriformes; Polypteridae. The record is from RefSeq and is a predicted model, not a curated record.
UACUUUUGGUGGUGGAUCACUUGGCUUGUGCAUCGAUGAAGAACACAGUUGGCUGCGAGAACUAAUGUGAAUUGCAGAACACAUUGAUCAUUGACACUUCGAAUGCACGUUGUGGCCCAGGGUCUUUCCGGGUGCUAUGCCUGUCUAAGGGUCG